RNAcentral lists this ribosomal RNA (166 nucleotides) under uncultured bacterium. RNAcentral's name for it is "partial 16S rRNA". It matches the Rfam family "Bacterial small subunit ribosomal RNA", at positions 355 to 511 of the family's 1533-position model. The record is from RNAcentral.
UAGGGAAUCUUCCACAAUGGGCGCAAGCCUGAUGGAGCAACGCCGCGUGAGUGAAGAAGGUCUUCGGAUCGUAAAACUCUGUUGUUAGAGAAGAACCCAUGCAGGAGAGUAACUGUUCUUGUAUUGACGGUAUCUAACCAGAAAGCCACGGCUAACUACGUACCAG